Molecule: long non-coding RNA, 965 nt
Filed under: Numida meleagris (helmeted guineafowl)
Lineage: Eukaryota; Metazoa; Chordata; Aves; Galliformes; Numididae
Description: lncRNA (ENSNMEG00000018271.1)
Source: RNAcentral
CUUACCAGGGAGCUGUUACCCUGUGACAGGAUCCCAGAAUGAAGCUGAUUUCCUGGCUGGUUCUCAGGACAAAUCUGUGCUCCCUCCUCCAGGCUGCAGUGCUGGCAUUCCACAUCAGGACCUGAUGAGGGGAAAAGAAUUGAAUGCUCCCUGCUGAUGUGAGACCAGGACACCUUGUGACUGUAAUGGAGCUGGCUGUUCCCCUGUAGAGCAGCCACUGUCACUCCUACCAGGAAAAACAUCAGCACAGAAAAUAAGGAGAUAUCACACUCACUGAGGAGUGGGCAUUUUUCUGAGAACUCACCACCACCACGUGAACUGACUGCAAAGGAGAACGAGUUCAAGGACGGAAAGGUUCCUCACUGGGAAUCAUGGAUCUGCUGGGUUAAGUUUGAAUGUUGAUAUCUGCAUCUUCAGACACACUGACCUGUGGGCUCAGCUGUGACAGAAAACUGAGACCCAGUGAUGUGCUGCUGAAGUCUCUAAUAACACAUCAUGCCCACAGUACCUGCUGAAAACCCACUGAAAGGCCAGCAGGAAGAGUCAGAGGGAAUUCAGCCUCACCCCAGUCCUAGCUGUGAAACAAGCAGGGUAAGCAAACAGCCUUGCUAACUCAAGCAGAGGCAAAGCAGGAUGUUUGCUGGCAUUGCCCCCCAUGCAGCCUGUUUCUGACAGCUCGCAGCUUUGCCAUUUUGUGCCUUGCUGUUUGCUGGGGUGGGGUUUUUACUCCCAAAGAUAAUUCUGUAACUGCAAACCUGUUUUUUCCCUGAACGUUAGGUGCUCACACGUGUGCUUUGCUCCUGUCUGCAGUGAGAAGACAACCCUGCCUGUCCUAGCAGAUGGCUCCACACAUGUAUGGAGAGAACAUUAAGCAAAGCCAUGAACAAGGUUUCCCUGAGCAGUACUGGUGGCUCUGGCUGUGGGGCUGGAAGUUUGAUGACAGUUGUGAGUGACCGUCGUGCCUG